GAUGAACGCUGGUGGCGUGCUUAACACAUGCAAGUCGAACGAAAAGAGGGGAAGAGCUUGCUCUUUUCAGAAUUGAGUGGCAAACGGGUGAGUAACACGUAAACAACCUGCCUUCAGGAUGGGGACAACAGACGGAAACGACUGCUAAUACCGAAUAAGUUCCAAGAGCCGCAUGGCCCAUGGAAGAAAAGGUGGCCUCUACCUGUAAGCUAUCGCCUGAAGAGGGGUUUGCGUCUGAUUAGCUAGUUGGCGGGGUAACGGCCCACCAAGGCGACGAUCAGUAGCCGGACUGAGAGGUUGAACGGCCACAUUGGGACUGAGAUACGGCCCAGACUCCUACGGGAGGCAGCAGUGGGGAAUAUUGGGCAAUGGGCGCAAGCCUGACCCAGCAACGCCGCGUGAAGGAAGAAGGCUUUCGGGUUGUAAACUUCUUUUAAGAGGGAAGAGCAGAAGACGGUACCUCUAGAAUAAGCCACGGCUAACUACGUGCCAGCAGCCG
RNAcentral lists this ribosomal RNA (499 nucleotides) under uncultured bacterium. RNAcentral's name for it is "bacterial SSU rRNA". It matches the Rfam family "Bacterial small subunit ribosomal RNA", at positions 28 to 517 of the family's 1533-position model. The record is from RNAcentral.